Molecule: long non-coding RNA, 533 nt
Organism: Leptidea sinapis
Lineage: Eukaryota; Metazoa; Arthropoda; Insecta; Lepidoptera; Pieridae
Exons: 2
Source: RefSeq, a predicted model, not a curated record
UCUGUUAUUUAAUCAUUAUUUUUCAAUCAGCUGAGGCCAGAUUCAGCUUUUUUAGGGGAAUAACUUUUUUAACAAUAUCUAUUUAGAUAAGAUAGCUAAUUAAGAUAUCUUGCUUAUUAUUUUAUAUAAAUACGCUGAUUACAUGGUACUAGUAUCAGAUAUACACCUGUUUAAGCGGAUUCAAAACUUUCACCAAGUUCAAAAUGAAAUCUCUAUCACUUAUAUUUGUAUUAGCGGCAUUCAUUUGCUUUACACUAUCAUCACCUAUUGAUAAAGCAGAACCUGAAAGCCCCGUAGAGAUCCUCCUGAGCCCAGUACAGAUUGUGAUCAAUCCAACUCAGACUCUGUUCUGUACAAACUCAUGGUGUCACAAUAUAUGUGUACAACUUGGAACAAGGACCGGUUACUGUAAUGCUCAAAAUCAAUGCCAGUGCUCCUUUUAAUGGCUGAUAAAAUUAUUAGAUUUAACUAAAUUAAGUACACAAUUAAAUAUUACAAACCACAAUAAAUAAAUAAAUACAUUUUUAUAUGAA